GCAUAUCAAUAAGCGGAGGAAAAGAAAGCAACUGCGAUUGCCCCAGUAACGGCGAAGUGAAGCGGCAUCAGCCCAGAUUUGGAAUCUGGCCCCCUUGCGGGGCCCGAGUUGUAAUCUGCAGAGGGAGCGCCUGGCCGAGCCCCCGCCUAGUGCCCUGGAACGGGCCGCCGCAGAGGGUGACAGCCCCGUGCGGCGGGCGGCGAAGCCUACACGGCGCCCCUUCGGAGAGUCGCGUAGUUUGGGAAUGCUGCGCAAAACGGGAGGUAUGCUCCUCCUAAGGCUAAAUACCGGCCGGAGACCGAUAGCGCACAAGUAGAGUGAUCGAAAGAUGAAAAGCACCUUGAAAAGGGGGUUAAAAAGUACGUGAAAUUGCUGAGGGGGAAGCUCCUGCAGCCAGACUCGCGCCCGGCGGAUCACCCGGCCUCCAGCCGGGGCGCUCUGCCGGGCGCGGGCCAGCGUCGGGCGGCGCCGGGGUGCAAUGGCGGCGGGAACGUGGCUCGCCUUCGGGCGAGCGUUAUAGCCCGCCGCGCGAUGCCCUGGGGCCGCCCGAGGACCGCGCCCUGCGUGGACGCUGGCGUAAUGGCUGCCGGCGGCCCGUCUUGAAACACGGAUUAGGGAGUCGUCCUGGCGCGCGAGUGUGCGGGUGUCAAGCCCCUGCGCGAAGUGAAAGCGAACGCUGGUAGGAAGCCCCCUCGCGGGGCCGCACUACCGACCGAUCCUGAUGUCCUCGGAUGGAUUUGAGUAUGAGCGUGCCGGGCCGGACCCGAAAGAGGGUGAACUAUGCUUGCGUAGGGCGAAGCCAGGGGAAACCCUGGUGGAGGCUCGCAGAGGUUUCUGACGUGCAAAUCGAUCUUCAAACGUGGGCAUAGGGGCGAAAGACUAAYCGAACCUUCUAGUAGCUGGGUGUACGUCGAA
Molecule: ribosomal RNA, 915 nt
Filed under: Humicola asteroides
Lineage: Eukaryota; Fungi; Ascomycota; Sordariomycetes; Sordariales; Chaetomiaceae
Description: LSU rRNA
Rfam family: Eukaryotic large subunit ribosomal RNA
Source: RNAcentral